AUACGGAGGGGGCGAGCGUUGUCCGGAAUGAUUGGGCGUAAAGGGCGCGUAGGCGGCGCGGUAAGUCUGGAGUGAAAGUCCUGCUUUCAAGGUGGGAAUUGCUUUGGAUACUGCCGCGCUUGAGUGCCGGAGAGGUUAUCGGAAUUCCCGGUGUAGCGGUGAAAUGCGUAGAGAUCGGGAGGAACACCAGUGGCGAAGGCGGGUAACUGGACUGCAACUGACGCUGAGGCGCGAAAGUGUGGGGAGCAAACAGGAUUAGAUACCCUGGUAGUCCACACUGUAAACGAUGAAUGCUAGGUGUAAGAGGUAUCGACCCCUUUUGUGCCGGAGUCAACACAAUAAGCAUUCCGCCUGGGGAGUACGGCCGCAAGGUUGAAACUCAAAUGAAUUGACGGGG
Molecule: ribosomal RNA, 397 nt
Filed under: uncultured bacterium
Lineage: Bacteria
Description: partial 16S ribosomal RNA
Rfam family: Bacterial small subunit ribosomal RNA
Source: RNAcentral